RNAcentral lists this ribosomal RNA (440 nucleotides) under uncultured bacterium. Its description in RNAcentral is "partial 16S ribosomal RNA". It matches the Rfam family "Bacterial small subunit ribosomal RNA", at positions 338 to 795 of the family's 1533-position model. The record is from RNAcentral.
CCUACGGGAGGCUGCAGUGGGGGAUAUUGCACAAUGGGGGAAACCCUGAUGCAGCGACGCCGCGUGGGUGAAGAAGCGCCUCGGCGCGUAAAGCCCUGUCAGCAGGGAAGAAAAUGACGGUACCUGAAGAAGAAGCCCCGGCUAACUACGUGCCAGCAGCCGCGGUAACACGUAGGGGGCAAGCGUUAUCCGGAUUUACUGGGUAUAAAGGGGGCGCAGACGGCGAUGCAAGCCAGGAGUGAAAGCCCGGGGCCGAACCCCGGGACUGUUCUUGGUACUGCGUGGCGAGAGUGCAGGAGGGGCAGGCGGAAUUCCUGGUGUAGCGGUGAAAUGCGUAGAUAUCAGGAGGAACACCGGUGGCGAAGGCGGCCUGCUGGACUGCAACUGACGUUGAGGCCCGAAAGCGUGGGGAGCAAACAGGAUUAGAUACCCUUGUAGUC